GUAUGACGUAGACUACACCAGGGUCAAAGCAGCAAGCAGCAUUGAGCAGAUGCCAAAUCACCAAAGUCAAAGCCGCAAGCAGAGUUGAGCGGGUUUGUAGCUUCACAAAACUGAGCAAAACCAAUUCAGAUGGUUUAAUGCUUUAUA
Long non-coding RNA from Sander lucioperca (pikeperch), 147 nucleotides. RefSeq lists it as uncharacterized. The transcript has 4 exons. The record is from RefSeq and is a predicted model, not a curated record. Lineage: Eukaryota; Metazoa; Chordata; Actinopteri; Perciformes; Percidae.